CCUACGGGAGGCAGCAGUGAGGAAUAUUGGUCAAUGGACGAGAGUCUGAACCAGCCAAGUAGCGUGAAGGAUGACUGCCCUAUGGGUUGUAAACUUCUUUUAUAUGGGAAUAAAAUGUUCCACGUGUGGGAUUUUGUAUGUACCAUAUGAAUAAGGAUCGGCUAACGCCGUGCCAGCAGCCGCGGUAAUACGGAGGAUCCGAGCGUUAUCCGGAUUUAUUGGGUUUAAAGGGAGCGUAGGUGGAUUGUUAAGUCAGUUGUGAAAGUUUGCGGCUCAACCGUAAAAUUGCAGUUGAAACUGGCAGUCUUGAGUACAGUAGAGGUGAGCGGAAUUCGUGGUGUAGCGGUGAAAUGCUUAGAUAUCACGAAGAACUCCGAUUGCGAAGGCAGUUCACUGGACUGCAACUGACGCUGAGGCUCGAAAGUGUGGGUAUCAAACAGGAUUAGAUACCCCAGUAGUC
Molecule: ribosomal RNA, 460 nt
Filed under: uncultured bacterium
Lineage: Bacteria
Description: partial 16S ribosomal RNA
Rfam family: Bacterial small subunit ribosomal RNA
Source: RNAcentral